RNAcentral lists this long non-coding RNA (2782 nucleotides) under Heterocephalus glaber (naked mole-rat). Its description in RNAcentral is "lncRNA (ENSHGLG00100039655.1)". Lineage: Eukaryota; Metazoa; Chordata; Mammalia; Rodentia; Bathyergidae. The record is from RNAcentral.
GGGAGGGGGCUUCUGAGACCCAGCAGCCCCCUCCUGGGGCACUGGGUCCCCACCUAGGUGCAGUGGCCCUCGCCAAAAGCACGUGCUGCCAAGCCUCCAUUAGUCACCCUGGCACUGACAUCCAUAAAUCCCAUUAGUCACACUCUACACAAGCUCGAAGCCGAACACACCCUGUCACACCCAGACAAAGACCAGGGCCCCCGAAGGGGCCCAGAGUGUCCGGGGCUGGGUCCCCAGGGACUAGCACCGUGUGGCUCUGGAGGCCCUCAUCGGUCAGCCUUUCCGAAGCAGCCCCCAGCAUCACAAACCUCCUUACAACCGCGCACUGAGGUCCCCAAAUAACCAGGGCUUCCCAAACCUUGCUCCAAACCUCGCCCAUCCCCUCUGGGCACGCACACCCUAAUAAACACCCACAAAUGUCCUUGGCACACCUCUCUUCUUGGGGGGGUGGGGGGGAACGGGCUGACAUUGGCCCCCUCCCCCACGCCUGUCCUCUGCUGGGUCUGGCAGGCAGGAAGUAUUCCCCAAGGUCACCAGAGCUCUUCAGUUGGCUCGGCCCGGGAGCUGAUUUAUUGGCGGUUUAUUUGGAGAAACGCUAUCGCUCUCAGAUUCCGGGGGAAAAAGCGCUGGCGGUGGACUUUAACCUUGGGCUGAGACCACAGCGCUUUGUUUUCCGAGCCGCUUCCUGGGCUGGGGCCUCGCUGGGGCGGUUCGCCGGAAUGUGGCUGGGCAGCCUCUGCGCUCCCGGGCGUCGCUGGGGCCAGCGCGCAAAUUCCUGCGCGCCUGGCUGCCGGAAGCCCUCGGUCCCUCCAACUGUGCUUUUGGAAAUUUGAGGGAGCUGGAGCUCCUUGAGUGAGAGCGACCUCGGGGCCCAGUUUCAAAAGCCCCUGCACCCGGCCUCCUCUGUCACCCGCUCGGAAUUGUGUCACUGGCACCAUGUGAGGUUUUGGGGAGGCACCCAAGAAGGUGCAUUGUCAACCCCUCCGCAACUGUCCCCACCCAGCGUCCCACGGCCCCUUUCGUGGUGGUUAGUCCCCACUGAGUACCUCCACUUGCUUGGCUGAAGCAGGGACCAGCAGAGAGGUCUGCGGGCCCCUCUGUCAAAGAAGACAGACAAUGCCCAUAACAUUAGUCGUUACUACUGCAGAUCUUCCCAACAACUUCCUCCCGACUGUUAGGGUGGAAAAACCAGCGCCCCGCCUAGCCUUCGACCUGCAAGCGACAGAUUCCUGUUUUCCCAAUGGUUUGGUUAUUUGUGCCAAGAGGGUAGGGCGUCAAACAAGGGUCGCCAAGCUGGGGAACCCGUGGCGAGCGAAGAGGGAUCCAAGGGCGCGGGACUAAGGCAGGGUCCGUUGAGGUGACCAGCUGAGAAGCCACUGUUCCUGACCUAGGCGUCGCCCCUCGGUGGCUCGGAUAGCUGCGCACCCAUUCAAACCUCAGCAGGCCUUCACCUGGCCCCCGCACGCCCCUACCCAGGGCGGUGAUCCGUGAGGCCCAGGCCGCCUCGGGGUCCGGCACUCGAGGGGAUGGCUGGUGGUGGCACCGAAUGGGCGAGGCGACUCCCUCUUUUUGGCGAACGGGGAAGCUCCUGACAGUGAUUUCCAGCGUAGUGACCGGGAGAGCAGGGUACCUGGCGGCCGGGGACGAGUGGCCAGGCUGGAACACCCGCCAGUGAGCAGCGGAAGGAGGGCUGGUGAGGGAGAUUUAUGGCCGUGGCCGGCCCCCAGCGCACUGAGCGCUUCUCCGUCCUCUUCGAGCCAAACAGUGGAGUGGAAGACCCGACCCGGGCCGGAGGAAGAGGCCAGGGUCGUAGGCGGGGCCGAGAGGAGUCGGAGGAAUCCUUCGAGGCCCGGCCUGGCGCAACGGCCCGGGCUCUCCUAGCCGUGCACCAGGGUUCUGGUGGCGAGCGGGGCGCUGGCACCGCGUCUCUGGCCUUCCUGGUGAGUCCUCAUGGCUCUCGACUGGGCUGGCUGAGCCGCACCUGGUCCAGUUGCAGCGAGGAUGGCUGUGCCGGGCGCGGCCUCUCCGGGUUUUAGCGGCGCCCGGGCAGGGAGCUCCCUGGUUGUUCGACCCUGCGGAAACUCUUGCCUAGAACUGCCCACGGCCUUUGGAGCUCGCCAUCCUCGGCAUCCCCUUCACUACCUUAGACGCUGGUGUAGUUCGGGGGCUCCGAUCGGAGAAAGGCGGUUCGGGGCAACCGAUGGGGUGACUUGGACUUCCAUGCCUUGGAAAGAAUGCUAGCUGUCCCCUUACCCUUGCUGAGAAAACGGGGAAGAUGUAUCCACGCGGCCAGCAACACCAAGGUUCUGGAAGAACCAGGUUCGACCGUGCCGUGGGGAGAACUGAGGCCGACUUGUGCUCCAGGAAUCGGAGGACCAGCCAACAUUCGCAGGCCUCAGCGCCGACAAAGGCGCGGCAGGGGACACAGCCGGGCUCAAGGGAGGGACCCGAGGCCGGGAGAGGAAAACGGCCUUCUCGCCUGCCCAUCCCACCCGAAGGCGCUGCUGGGGGAGAGGGAAUGAAUCGCCGCUUUGUUUUAAAAGGAAGAAAAAAAUGAAAAAGAAAAAAGCAGCCCUUGUCUAUUUUGGCGUCUCCCCCCUGCGUUCUGGAGGCUCACCCUAGGGGAGGUGGCGGGCAGGGGCGCGGGCGCAGGGUGCAGCCCACUGAGCCCCAGGCCCUUCCCGGCUCGGCAGGCUUGUCACCUCCUUUAGCGAGCGGGAAGCUGACAGGCGGCCCAUUAAACUGCGCCUUGCAAAGCCCUGGAUUGCGGCGACAACCAUCU